RNAcentral lists this ribosomal RNA (253 nucleotides) under uncultured bacterium. RNAcentral describes it as "partial 16S ribosomal RNA". It matches the Rfam family "Bacterial small subunit ribosomal RNA", at positions 524 to 776 of the family's 1533-position model. The record is from RNAcentral.
UACAGAGGGUGCGAGCGUUAAUCGGAAUUACUGGGCGUAAAGCGUGCGUAGACGGUUAUUUAAGUCAGAUGUGAAAGCCCCGGGCUCAACCUGGGAAUUGCAUUUGAGACUGAAUAGCUAGGGUACGGUAGAGGGAAGCGGAAUUUCCGGUGUAGCGGUGAAAUGCGUAGAUAUCGGAAGGAACAUCAGUGGCGAAAGCGGCUUCCUGGACCAGUACCGACGUUCAGGCACGAAAGCGUGGGGAGCAAACAGG